Molecule: ribosomal RNA, 482 nt
Filed under: uncultured bacterium
Lineage: Bacteria
Description: partial 16S ribosomal RNA
Rfam family: Bacterial small subunit ribosomal RNA
Source: RNAcentral
AUUGAACGCUGGCGGCAUGCUUUACACAUGCAAGUCGAACGGCAGCGCGGGGCAACCUGGCGGCGAGUGGCGAACGGGUGAGUAAUAUAUCGGAACGUACCCAAGCGUGGGGGAUAACGUAGCGAAAGUUACGCUAAUACCGCAUACGAUCUAAGGAUGAAAGUGGGGGAUCUUCGGACCUCAUGCUCCUGGAGCGGCCGAUAUCUGAUUAGGUAGUUGGUAGGGUAAAGGCCUACCAAGGCGACGAUCAGUAGCUGGUCUGAGAGGACGACCAGCCACACUGGAACUGAGACACGGUCCAGACUCCUACGGGAGGCAGCAGUGGGGAAUUUUGGACAAUGGGCGCAAGCCUGAUCCAGCAAUGCCGCGUGAGUGAAGAAGGCCUUCGGGUUGUAAAGCUCUUUUGUCAGGGAAGAAACGGCUGAGGUUAAUACCUUUGGCUAAUGACGGUACCUUAAGAAUAAGCACCGGCUAACUACGUG